AAGCUUUCAUAUCCCUGUGAAGAAGACGCAAUAGUCACGCACAAACACUUUUCUAGGGUUCCAACACUUUCUUCUGCAAUUUCAACAACACCGCGUAGCUCACAUAGCUAGCUGCCUCUCAUGAAUUCUCCUCCGGCAAAGUCUCCGCAUUCAAAGGCAGCUCCAACGUCGCUGAUGGUCCUCCUCUUUGAACUCAUCGCAGACAUUCUUUCACGGCUUUCUGUGAAAACUCUGAUGCAAAUGAAAUGUGUCUGCAAAUCAUGGAAAACCCUGAUCUCCGACGAUCCUUCCUUUGCCAAAUUGCAUCUUCAACGGUCGCCGCGGAACAGCCAGCUCUUACUACUUCCGCAAUGGAACAGCCCAGACGAAGACUUUGAUUGCAGUGUCGUACCCUUUCCUGUAAGUCAUCUGGUAGAAACUCCGAGUGAAUUUCGCUAUCCAUAUUAUCGAUUGAGGAAUAUCACCAUUCCCAAUGAUCCAUACUACCAAUUGGGGAAUAUGGAUUGCUCUCACAUCGUUGGUUCCUGCAAUGGAUUGAUCUGCAUGCACACUAGUUGGUACCCUAAUCAUAGCAUUUGGUUCCGUUUAUGGAACCCAGCCACAAAGACACUAUCUGAAAAAUUAGGUCAUAUAACUGAACUUUUCCGUUUCACAUUUGGUUAUGAUAAUUUGACUGACACUUAUAAGGUGGUGGCCUUCACGGCCAACAAGGUGAAGGUUUUCAGUUUCAGGGAUAAUGUUUGGAGAGAUAUUCAAAGUUUUCCUGUUGUGCCUUUUGACCUUCAUCCCCGACAACAACUCGGUUGUCAUCAAUAUAAUAAUCGUGGUGUAUAUGUGAGUGGCGCUAUUAACUGGUUGGCUAUUCGAAAUAAGAUAGAAUAUGAAUGGAAUGAUAUCACCGUCGAUCAAUUUGUGAUUGUGUCUCUUGAUCUGGCUACGGAGACUUAUCGACAGUUGCUCCCACCUAGUGGUUUUGUUGAAGUACCACCUGUUGAACCAUCGGUUACUGUAUUGAUGGAUUGUCUAUGUUUUUCUCACCGUUUCAAGGAAACCCAUUUUGUUUUAUGGAAGAUGAUGGAAUUUGGAGUUCAAGAGUCUUGGACUCAAUUCCUCAAAAUUAGUUUUCAGAAUCUUCAAAUUGAUUAUGGCAUUAGUAAUUCGCUAGCAUAUGAUUCUCAAUUGUUCCUACUUCCAUUGUGGGCUUCUGAGAGUAGCAACACACUGAUAAUGGCAAGCAAUCAAGAAGGCUAUGCUGAUGAAAGCUUAUUCAAACCUCAGCAUGCAAUUGUCUAUAAUUGGAGAGAUAAUAUAGUAGAGCAAAUUAAAACUAACAAUGAAAUUAUGUGGAUGUUUUCCCAUGAUUAUGUUGAAAGCUUGGUUUCAACACGUUGAAACUAGAAGCCGAUCCUCCCAAAAGGAAAUUUAAUGACUCUUGAAUGAUCUUUAUUUGGACCACACCGUCAACUUCAAGCACAUCUGGCGUUAUUCAUGGUUGAUGGUAGGAUAGUAGGAAGAAAGGAAAAAAGAGUCUCAUUGGAGCUACAUUUUCGUUAGUUUUAGUACUAAUUUUGUUUAAGACAUUUAUAGCCGUCUUUUAUUGCCUCUUUUGUACCUCUUUGAAAGCAUUUGUAGUAAUUUACCCCAAAAUAUGUGUUGUUUUGCAACUCUACUCUUUGUGUAAGGGCCAGUGGGAAGUCUCUAACUCUUCAAUAGAAAUAUUUCUGUUGCUGCAUAAAAUAUGCUUAAUAUUAUUUCCGUAAUCUAUGGUUGGAUGAUCUUCCUUGA
RNA transcript from Trifolium pratense (red clover), 1785 nucleotides. It is a transcript of the gene named F-box/kelch-repeat protein At3g23880-like, with no coding region annotated. The record is from RefSeq and is a predicted model, not a curated record. Lineage: Eukaryota; Viridiplantae; Streptophyta; Magnoliopsida; Fabales; Fabaceae. The transcript has 3 exons.